Molecule: ribosomal RNA, 253 nt
Filed under: uncultured bacterium
Lineage: Bacteria
Description: partial 16S ribosomal RNA
Rfam family: Bacterial small subunit ribosomal RNA
Source: RNAcentral
UACAGAGGUGGCAAGCGUUGUUCGGAAUUACUGGGCGUAAAGGGCGCGUAGGCGGCCAUCUAAGUCAGACGUGAAAUCCCCCGGCUUAACCUGGGAACUGCGUCUGAUACUGGACGGCUCGAGUUUGGGAGAGGGAUGUGGAAUUCCAGGUGUAGCGGUGAAAUGCGUAGAUAUCUGGAGGAACACCGGUGGCGAAGGCGGCAUCCUGGACAAACACUGACGCUGAGGCGCGAAAGCUAGGGGAGCAAACGGG